AGAAAUAGUGUCCAUGUAAAUCUAGAAUAAUCAUCAACAAUGACAAAAGCAUAACGAUUUCUACCAAGACAUUCAAUGCGAGAUGGUCCAAAAAGGUCCAUGUUAAGAAGUUGCAAUGGUCUAGUAGUUCAAACGAUAUUUUUUUGAUUUAAAGGAUGCUUUUGUUUGUUUCCCUUUUUGACAAGAAUCGCAAAUGGAGUCUUUUUCAAAUUUCAAAAUUGGAAGACCAAUAACUAAUUUUUGUGAAACCAAUUUGUUUAAAAGAUGCAUGUUG
Molecule: long non-coding RNA, 274 nt
Filed under: Nicotiana benthamiana
Lineage: Eukaryota; Viridiplantae; Streptophyta; Magnoliopsida; Solanales; Solanaceae
Description: long non-coding RNA (NBEN_LNC001590)
Source: RNAcentral